Molecule: unclassified non-coding RNA, 376 nt
Filed under: Melitaea cinxia (Glanville fritillary)
Lineage: Eukaryota; Metazoa; Arthropoda; Insecta; Lepidoptera; Nymphalidae
Description: misc RNA ENSMCXG00005020126.1
Source: RNAcentral
AUUAAAAAUUAUCAAAAUCGGUACACCCAGUAAAAAGUUAUUGCGGAUUUUCGAGAGUUUCCCUCGAUUUCUCUGGGAUCCCAUCAUCAGAUCCUAGUUUCCUUAUCACGGUAUCAAACUAGGGAUAUCCCCUUUCCAAAAAAAAAAGAAUUAUCAAAAUCGGUACAUCCAGUAGAAAGUUAUGCAGUAUAAUACAACGUAGGUCGACGAAAAAAGCGUCAAGUAAAAACGCAUUAUUAGAUAUAACUCGAAAAGUAGUUGAUAGAUCUCAAAUAAAUUUAAAUGGGACCAAUUGGCACACACCACCUUUCGAUUAAAACAAAAUUUGUCGAAAUCGGUCUACCCGGUCAAAAGUUCUGAUGUAACAUACCAAAAA